Podarcis lilfordi (Lilford's wall lizard) is the source of this 5247-nucleotide non-coding RNA. The record is from the annotation of a GenBank genome assembly. Lineage: Eukaryota; Metazoa; Chordata; Lepidosauria; Squamata; Lacertidae.
GUCAAUAUUAAGGAAGUUGUUGCAUGGUGUAAGGCAGGAAGACAACAAAUGUUGGUAGGGCCUGGUGGUGAACAACAGGGAAGCUAGAGUCAGAGCCAAACGACAAAGAGCCCACCUGCUCAGAAAAUAUAUGGGAGUGACUGAUUUCUAACAUGCGUUAUUGACAGGGGUAUGAAUGUGGCAUAAACCACAUUCCUGGCAGCACUUGAAAUUAAUUAGGUGUUGUAGGUAUCCCAUGCCAGCCAUCACCUUUGCAAAAAUCUGCCUUAGAGAGUGAUAGGAAGGCAGGAACCUUCAGUCUUCACAAUUGCUUCAUUGAGGCAAGACCUACUGGGAAGGGCUGCUGUGACCACUAGGACUGAGUGGUUUUGUUUAUUUGAAUAAAACGUUAACUUCACUGGCAUUGGGUGCUUCAUUGUUUUAUUGCUGACCUAUGCCUGACUCCAGCUCCUGACAGCACCUGGAACACAGUCUUCUCCACAAGACUGAGAUGUGAUUCCAAUUAAAUCAGGGCAGUUAUUUCAAAAUUUGUACAUAAACAUUUAAAUCAACAUAUGAAAAAUUGUGGGUGCCUUUUGUGAUGCAUGUCCUCUUUUGCGGUGAUAUAUAAAUACCUACCCUGCUCUGGAGUGCAGCUAUCUGAAUGCCAGGGACCAGGGGCAUCAAAAUAUAUGGUGGAGGGUGAUCUUGCAAUACAAAACAGUUUUCAUCUUUAUUGCUGUCCCCUGUGAAGUUCCUGUAAAGGGAGAGCAUUUCAUGGGGGAGAAAAUAUUCACAAAAUGUGCAUACCCAAUAGCAUUUGAGCUCAUUCUUGUUGGAGCAUAGAGAGAGAGAAGACUGUUCCAUUGGCUGCUGAUGACACAACUGUCCAAACAGAGUAGGGAGAGCUGUUGGGUGGUAAUGAUACAGCUGCCACUUUUCCUGCACUGAGAGCUUGAUUUUUAUUGAGCAACACAUUUUGGGAGGUUUCUUCCAGGUGAAAGGCCACAUAUUUUCAUCAGACUUAAUAUAUAUUUUUUCUCAUCUUACAUUAUCCAACCUACGAUAACAAAACAGUUCAGGAGGGUAUGGAGGUCAGAAAGACACCCGGGACAUUGUUGCUAUAGAUAUCCAGCUUGGAAGAAAGGGUACUAAACUAGAACUAAAUUUGAAUGAAUGCUAAUCAUAGCUAACCCAUACUGAACUGAACCCAUACUGAAUUUAUCCGUUCAACUUCCUGUGCAGGACUGGGUAUAAGCAACUCUUCAGCUUUAUGUUUUUACCACCAUCCUAUUAAAGUUGGCUUUAUACUUCCUCCAUUUUAAUUGUAUUCAGUGAUGGAUUUUAUGUGAAGUCCCAAAAUGGAUUUGUUUUGUUAGUUCUUCUCCUCUGUGGCAUAUUAACGUUUCAAUUACCAAAAUUAUCAUAUUACCUCAGCUCUGAAAGAGAGAAGAGUGAAGGGACAAGUGUGUAUAUACAACUGAAUGCAUCAUCAAACAUUAAUUUGUUGAUAACAUUAUUACUUAAUGCUUUAUUAUGGGUUUUAUUAUCAUCUCUGCUUUGAUCUUUAUGGAAAUGUGUGUACUUAAGAAUGGUUGACAUGACUGGAGAUGGUGUGUAUGCGGGGUAGGGGUUCAAGCUUUAUUUGGGAAUCUUUCUGUGAUUCAGCCUUGAGGCCUGAGAUGUUUUGUGUGCUUUCUACAAGAAGGGAAUGGAAAUAGACUCUUAAGUUGAACUUAGCCCAAGGAAAACAAUUUUUUUCAAGCAGUGUUUUAAUCAUCCAGAAAAUUUCUCAUGGCUGCAAAUAGCAGCUUUAAAUAGGAAUAGUUUUCGAGCCAUUAGAUGCUUCCUCACGACAAGAGGGCUAAACAGAACAAACAGAGAUGACACAUCAUGCAAAGCAAGAGUAAGGAGGAAUUCUGAACAUUUAAGCAUAAAAUAAACACCCCUUGGUUUAAUUAAUUUUAAAGCAUGAAUCAACCUUGGAGAAAGGAUGUCACAAGAAACUACAACAGGCUAUGACCAUAACCAUACCAGAUGCUGAAUAUUCACAGAAUAAACAUCUAUUUUUAUUGCCUAUAUUUUAAUUUUUAUUUUACAGUGAAAUUUCAUUAUUAAAAGGGGGAAAACUAUAUGACUAUGUUCAGGUAAGGGAGACUCUGGGAACAUUCAUAGUUAAAAAAGGAAUAUUUUUAUUAUUAUUCUUUGCUCUCAUGGAUUCAGAGGAAAGUAUGAAUACUUCUGAGUAGAUUUUAUUAAAUAUUUAUGACAGUUUGCUAUAAUGCUUUUUAUAUUUGUCAGCCAAUUUCCAGGUACAAAGUAAAUGCAAACAGCAUCAUUUAUGAAUGUGGCACAUGUGUAUAAAUUGCAACUGAUAGCAAAAGACUUGCAACUGGUAGCCAGAUCCUUCCCAUGCCACUGCUUGUGCUUAUCUAGCUGGCGUUUAUAAACAUGGGAUUGUGUCCAGCUAAGUUUUACUCAGAGGAGACCUAUUGGAAUUAAUGAACUGAAGUUAGUUAUGAUUAUUCAUUUCAGUGGGACUACUCUGAGUUGGACUAGCAUUGGACACAACGCAUGUGUGCCAUUUGCACAUAAGAAUAGCCUUUUUCACAUGGACAUCCAACCAUCUCAACUGAAUGCUAAAAAACAACAACUGCAUCAUGCCAUUGUCCAUAUUCCUGACAUCCAAACAUUAACUAUGCUUUUAUGCAAGGAGCCUACAAGAGUUCAAAUUAUAUUUGCAUAGGACAGCUCCACACAGUUGGAAACUCUAUAUAAAGUAAACCCCACAAUUGUGUGAGGAGGGGCUACAUGCAUACAACUUGCAAGCAUCCAGGCUCUGUUGCACACAGGCCUAUAAUAAGCAUGUGGAAGUUGAGGGCAAGAGUAAUAGUGAAAUCCUACUCUCCCCCCCCCAUGCAUUAAGACCACAUGGUUGGAAGAUCACAUGAAAGGAGCUAUACUUUGCAUGUAUUGCAUGGGGAAUCAGCCCCAUGGUGUACAGUGCAAAGUAAGAAGAUGUUAUUAAAAUCCAGAGGGGGGCUAUUGGAGCUUCCAGUAGUCAGAUGUCUUCAGUCUGCUUCAUUCCUAGUUAGUUGCUCACUGUGCCUCCAUUCCCAGCCUCUGUUUCUUGAUUCUACACAAUUGUUGGUUCUAAUGCUUUGUGAGUGAUUCAUAAAUGAAAUGAAUAAAUAAUUUUAUGAAGGGAGAAUUGGACUAAACAAUUCUUUAGUCUUCAAACUCUAUUUAAAUACAUUUUGCAGCCAAGAACAUCUGCUAUGUUGGUAUCUUUUUAUACCCAUUUCCUCCUUGCCACCACUACUUUCAUAUGGACUGAAUAGAUAAGUGAUUAGAUUUCAUGGAUGCUGUGAAAAACACGUCAAAAAUUUAAGUUGGAACAGGCAUAGCUUUCCCCAUCCCUGUUUGGAAGCACGGUAAUUGUUGAAUCACAUCCUAUGCUUACUUGCUUACAGGGGGUAAUUAACUCUUGAGAAUUUUUAUUUUAUCUGAUAACACAUACCAUAACACCACAAACACAGAACAAUGUGGAACAAACUGCAUAAAUGAUAAAAAAGCAAACAGGCGGCUCCAUUCAAGUACUUCCCUGAUUAAGGAGAUCUACACGCUUAAGCAGGUUUCCAUGUUUGUAUCACUUUCUGAAUCAGGAACAAUGAGUAUAAAUCUAACGCACAUUUGAAUGUAGACAUCUGUGUAUUCUGAUAAUGCAUCUCUACUGCAUUAUUUUCAACAAAUGCAUCCCAAUUUUGGCUCAGCUAGUUACACUCUCAUAUCUUUUCAGUCUACAACUAGAGUUAGAUUGGGGUGAGAUUCUGCCAGCUCAACAGGUUAGCCUCAGUGCCUGAGGACUAUCAAUGAUGUUGUUUAUUGAUUUCUGUGGUCAGCUUUAAUGGUUGGCAACUCUUGGGAAUUCUCUCUUUCUCAAAAAGCUUGUAGAGGCUAUUUGUGUUCUUUAUUCAUUAAUGGUUCUAAAUUAUUUAAUCUUCCAGUGUGGUUGCUGCAGGCAGAUGUGAAGUUCUUGUUCUACACCCCAAAUUGGAAAGCCAGCAGGAAGAAUCUAUUAAACUUCUCUGUCCAAAUAAUGAUUGAUAUGUAUGGUAUUUGCUACCUCAUACUAUUUUGCCAUGUUCAGGUAUAUUUCUUUUGGGUCUAAGGUCAGACUUGUGUUUAUGUUUUAUACAUUUCUGAAAAAGUGGUGGCUUAAGAUCACUGUUUCCAUUUUCACUAGUUUAGGAAGUGUAUGGUCUGUAUUUGCUUUGGGUUUUUCUCAAGAUGAUCAGUCAAAUUAUCAGAACAUUUUCUAUUUCCAGUUCUUUUACCUUCACCCAAGCCUUGGAUUGCUUGUGACCAAGAAGUGAUGGGAGAUCUCCACCUAGCUUGGGUGGACUAACUCCAGGCCUUGGGCUUGCUCAGCAAUGGCUCAUGCAGUCUUAACCCAUCUCACUCCCUUCAGUGCAGUUGCUGAGCUCUGUAUGAGCAGCAAAUGCGUGUCAGCUUGGAUUAAGAAACAGACUUAAGUCAAAUACUUCUCUCUGCAAAUGUGCAGAAUCCCCCCUUUUUAUUUUGAGCUGUAGAAGAAAUCUGCCAGAAAUAAUGUUCAAAUUGUCCUGCUUCUAGGCAAUAUGAACUAGGCCAGGGAUGGGGACUCUGCUGUUGAAUUCUAACUCCCAUCAACCCCAGCAAUAAUGUCCAGUGGUCAAAGAUGAUGGUGGUUGUAGUAGUCACAGGUUCCCCAUCCCUGACUUAAACAAACACACUAUAUGUAUAGGAAAGGAGAUCUGUUUUUAUAAUUGCUUCUGUAAUUUAGUAACUAGCUAGUUUUUCUUGCAGCAAAAACAGUACAAUGUCUUCUUGCUAGAGGCAUGAGUGUUCAUACGCAGCAUUGCAACAACCAGAUGCUGUUGGAUUGCAGUCCCCAUCAGCCCCAUCUGGCAUGGCCAGUGGUCAAGGAUGGUGGAAGUUGUAAUCUAGCAAUAUUUUUGCUUUGGGCUAUGUAGGAAGAAUGUGGGAAGCAGCCCUUAUACCUAGACCAGUGAUUCAAGAAUUUGCCUCAGAAUUAAUCAGCAAUUAUCCUUCUACAUCUUACAUCAGUAAACAGUUUCCAGAGGGGGUAGCCAUGUCUGUUGCAGUAAAAACAACAAAGAAUCUUGUGGCACUUUAAAGACUAACUAUUUUCUAUAGCACAAACUUUGGCACUAGACUCUGUGUAUUUUUUAAAAAACAGUGGAGAAAUCCCAAACCAAUCACCUU